AAGGGAGCUGCCAGUAUUAACUAGUGCUUGCUGCUCUUGCGUUCUGUGUGAGGAGCGUUGAAUAGAAGACGUGAUGGAUGAAGAAUUAAAAUGCCCCGUUUGCGGUUCUCUUUUCAAGGAUCCUAUUCUUUUACCUUGCUCGCACAAUGUGUGUUUGGCGUGCGCCCGAAAUAUCAUUGUACAGACCCCAGAAGGCGAAACACCACCGCAUAACCGUGCCUCCAACUCGGACUACGAUUAUUUGGAUAUGGACAAAAUGAGCAUGUAUAGUGAAACGGACAGCGGUUAUGGAUCAUACACGCCGUGCCUCAAGUCUCCAAAUGGGGUGAGGGUGUUUCCUCCGACUCUGGUGCACCGCCACUGCUCCAUAACGUGUCCUCUCUGUCACCGUAGUGUCUCUCUGGAUGAGCGGGGGCUGAGGGGCUUUCCACGUAACCGGCUACUGGAGGCGAUCGUGUCUCGGUAUCAACAGAGCCGCUCUGCCAACGUGAAAUGUCAGCUAUGUGACCGCAACCCUGUCGAUGCCACUGUGAUGUGCGAGCAGUGUGACGUGUUUUACUGCACACCUUGCCAGCAGCGAUGCCACCCUUCCCGUGGACCGCUGGCCAAACAUCGAUUAGUGCCACCGACCCAAUCGCCAGUUGCAGGAGGACAGCAGAUGCCCACCGCCACCUUGCGCAAACAGGGAACAUGUGCAGACCAUGACACGGUGAACUUUAGCAUGUACUGCAUCAACUGCAAGACUCCAGUGUGCAUGAAGUGUCUGGAGGGUGGCAAGCAUGGGAGUCACGAUGUAAAACCUUUAGUGGCCAUGUGGAAACAGCACAAGUGUCAACUGUCCCAAGCUUUGAAUGGUGUGUCAGAUAAAGCCAAGGAUGCCAAGGAAUUUCUGGUGCAGUUGAAGAACAUGCUUCAGCAGAUACAGGAAAAUGGGGUGGAGUUCGAGGCCUGCCUGGUGGCUCAGUGUGACGCCCUUAUUGAGGCUCUGACGCGGCAGAAAGCCAAGCUCCUCACCAAGGUUACCAAAGAGAGGGAGUACAAGCUCAAGGUGGUGCGUGACCAGAUCACUCACUGCACUAUGAAGCUACGUCAGACUACAGGCAUGAUGGAGUACUGUCUGGAGGUGAUCAAAGAGAACGACCCCAGCGGCUUCCUGCAGAUCUCCGAUGCGCUGAUCAAACGUGUGACAUCGUCUCAGGACCAGUGGGUCAAAGGGGCUCUGGAGCCCAAGGUGGGCCCUGAGUUUGACCUGACCCUGAACACCGACCCCCUGCUUCAGACCAUAAUACAGCUGGACUUUGUCCAGAGCAAAGAUAUUCAGGAGACUCCAUUAUUGAAACAAAUGCAUGCAGGUGGACUGAAAGACACGGAGAGCUCAGGAGUGGAGUCUGCCACGGUGCCCCCGGCCCCCCUGCUGCAGCUGGAGAAGUGCUGCACCCGCAACAACAGUGCCACCCUGGCCUGGAGGGUCAGUGUGUCCCCUAGCAACCCCAUUGAAGGCUACGUCCUGGAGCUGGACGACGGCAACGGGGGUCAAUACAGGGAGGUGUAUGUAGGGAAGGAGACCGUGUGCACCGUGGACGGCCUACACUUCAACAGUUCCUACAACGCCAGAGUCAAGGCCUACAACUCCACCGGGGUGGGGCCCUAUAGCAAAACUGUGGUGCUGAAGACAUCUGACGUGGCCUGGUUCACCUUCGACCCCGCCUCGGCUCACAGGGACAUUGUGUUGACCAAUGAGAACCAGACGGUGAGCUGCAACAGCUAUGAUGACCGUGUGGUGCUGGGGACUGCCGCCUUCUCCAAGGGGGUACAUUACUGGGAGCUCAUGGUGGAUCGCUAUGACAACCACCCGGACCCAGCGUUCGGGGUGGCGAGGAUCAACACGAUGAAGGACAUGAUGCUGGGGAAGGAUGAUAAGGCCUGGGCCAUGUACGUGGACAACAACCGCAGCUGGUUCAUGCACAACAACUCCCACACCAACAGCUGUCACGUUGGAGCCUAUCACCCACAAUGACUCACUCAUUUCCCUCAUUAAAGUGCCAGGUAUACAUGAAUGUCAGGUAAUCAUCAAAGGCAGAUUUUUGCUUGCAAUCCUGCUUGUUUGUUUCUUUCGCCUAGUGGAUUUCUCUGGAAAUCCACUAGGAAGUCCUGUAGCUUUGUGACAUAGCUGUUUGACAACGGUGAUGCUUUCACACUUCCACCAUUUUGUUGUUUGAGCUGCUCACUCUCAAAAACCAAAAAUCUGCUGGCUUUUUGGGGCCGAGGGGGGCAUCAGCAAGGGUGCCACUGUGGGCAUCCUGCUGGACCUGAACAAGCACACUGUAACGUUCUUUGUCAACAAACAGCAGCAUGGCCCCGUGGCCUUCGAGAACCUGGAGGGAGUCUUCAUGCCUGCUGUCAGCAUCAACAGGAAUGUCCAGGUUACCCUACUAACAGGAAUGGAGGUGCCAAAGAAUUUUAAGCAGCAGUAGCCUCCUAAGGUGUCCUGGCACAGUCCCACCAAUGUCAAAAUGUACUCCUCCUGCUCCAUCCCCAUCUGUUCUUGCUACUACAGCAUAUCUUAUGCUGUUUAAUGCCUACGAUCAAAUAUCACCCUCGGAGGGAGUCUUAUAUACGAGGGACUUUUGUAUAUAAAAUAUUUUGUUGUUUUUGUAAUUUUCCAAGUCCUAAUUGCAUCUCAAACCGUACAAUCAGAUUCUGUGUUUACAGUCAAAAUGCCACAGGGUGCUUUAAUGAAGUGCAUCACUAGAACGAAAUCCCAUAUGAGGGUAGAGUCAUGAGAUGUCCUACAGUACAAUUUCUCUACUUCUCUUCUCUCAGGUUCCUUCAUAGAGGCUUUCUAUACUUUCUUUGUAGGAAAUCACUGGAUGGGUUAAAUGCGGAAGACACAUUUCAGUUGAAUGCAUUCAGUUGUACAACUGACUAUUUAUCCUCCUUUCCCUUCCCUUCUAAUUCAAAAGUUGAGAAUAAUAUAGCUUUUCUUAGACACAUUAUCAGUGGAAUACUGUCUUUGCAACUUUACAAAGCCUUUCGAUACCAGAAUUGGAAUAAAUUCAACUUGAAAUCUGCUCAAUUGAAAAUGACCUAUGGGAAUUUUAUACACUAUACAUUUUAUUUAAUGAAAUUGAAUUCACCCCAGCAUAGAUCGUCAGAUCUGUGUAAAGGACUAAUCAGAGGACAAACGGAACCUACAAUUCUGUCACUAGAUGACAAAUCUUGGUUCAAAGUGAAGCCAAACCACUGUGACAUUGAGAUGUAACAUAGCCAUGUAUAUUUUGUCAAACUAUUUAAAAUGCAAAUAUGUAUCUUUUUUCAAACUAUUUACUGUUUAUGCAUUGGGUUUUACUACACUAUUUAAAUAUUUAUUAAGAGGGUGUAUGCUCAUGUGAAUAAACAAGUAUUGUUAAAGGUUUUGUAAAGCAGUUAGAAAUAUUGUAUUGACAGACCACUACAGGGUCAAGGAAGUAAGGAAAUGUAUGUAAGGAAAUUGUAAAUACGACUAAUGUGUCCUAAGCAUGCAUUCUAAGCAAACUAGUUUACUAAACUCCAUCUGUACAUAGUAAAACUAUUCCUAAAACAGUGAUAUGCAGAAGCCUUUCAAACUACCUAGUACAGUAAAAUACAUUUGCCCCCUAGAGUUUGAAGUCAAAAUUACAGCAUCACUUUAAUUUCCUAAAAAAAUAAGUGUUUAAUCAUUUAUGUGACAAUUUAAUAUCUUAUGGGGCUCAAGCACAAUGUCAGAUGACAAAAUUAAUUUAGAGGGUUAAGCAGUGCGUUUGUGAUUUGUCUGAGGGAGCCUUAAUGGAAUUGUAGAUACUAGGCAGGCUUAUUAUCCCACAUUUACAUUUGACCAUGUCCUCAUAAAGUUCACAUACUGGUAUAUCAUUAAUCAUAAUUAGAUGCAGUUAGGAGUUGUUUUGUAUCAUAUUCUGUAAUUCUAAUUUUUGAACAUUUUAAUCUCCGACGGCUACUAAAAGUGUUGCUUCAAAGUGAUGUGCCCUUAAUCCAAAAUGGUAAUAGGUUUUUGGAUUAAGAAUAAAGCUAUUGUUAUUAGAAUAAAAAUUAUACUCCGAGUCUGUGUUGAAGCAUGGUGGUACACCCUUGGUGAAAAUGAUUUGUACUGUUCUUGUAUGCUCGCUUUGUAAAAACACCAAAUAUAGUCAUGCAUUGUUGAAUGGUCUUAGAAUCUAAUGUUGGGUUUAUUUAGCUGUGUUUAAUGUUCUCUGAACAGAGCCAAUGCCUUGUACAUUAAACAUGUUGAUAUGAUGUAGAGCAGACUUUCUGAUUACAGAACUACAGUAUGUCCAAAGCUAAAAUGUGGAGGUGACCAUUCCCAGGGUACAUAAAUUAUAUUGACUAAAGCCAUUUUGUAUAGACAAGCCAGUGCAUCAGGUUGCAGCAUGUACAGUUGGUUAUUGAGUGUCUCCAAGUGAAUGUUGUCAGAGAGAAUCAUCCCUGUUAUGAAGAUAUUCUUAUAAAACUCAAUAAGUGCUUGUGUUGGCAACUACAGUAUAGUGAAGUGUCAUGUACCCAAAAGGGAUGACUGCAGAGGCCUACAAACAAAAUUGGCUCCAUGUAGCCUCUCAACAAUCACCAUGGAAAUGGUGUUCACAAACACACUGCCAGCACAGACCAUAAUAUCAAAGGAAUCUUUGUAGUAAAUUCACAUAGUAGCUUAUCGUCUCUAAAUGUCAUAUUGUAGAGUUUGGCAUGCAUUUACCAGCCUGCUUCUGAAUGUGAACACCCCACCCCCCCAAAAAGAAAAUAGUGCUAGAAACAGUCAUGACUGUCAGAUUACAAUUGGGUUUGAAUCCUACACUCUUCCUCAAGAGACUGACAGACACAUUUAUUUCAUCCAUUUAUUUAUAAAUGUAUAAUACAUUUCUGAGAUUUAUUUUGCCCACGUUUACUGUUCCCACCCUCAGUAUGCCAUGUGGGGAAGGUUGUUGCCGUGUCUGGGGGACAUCUCUCUUCUAAACACACAUGCCCUGGGGUCGUGGCUAGUGCCCUCCCACUGCCACACUACCAGAGAACUAGGCAGGGUGCACCACCAAACCUCAUAGGGAAUGUCAACUGGUCCAUUAGGACACUGGCAUCCGUGUCCAGUGUGUUCACAAAAAGCUGUGCUUUAUUUUAUAGAAUUCUGUUACGUAUGUUCUUUAGUUAUCAUACGAUGUAAACGUUUCGUACUUCUAAGUGGUUUGUAUAUGAAAUGAGUUGGCAUUGUUUUCAUAUUAUACCGUUUAAAAGAUGAAGAAAAUGCUGUCUUUCCUUUAUAUAAUGAAUAAACUGUGAUGGAAUAUAAA
Oncorhynchus mykiss (rainbow trout) is the source of this 5309-nucleotide non-coding RNA. The record is from RefSeq and is a predicted model, not a curated record. Lineage: Eukaryota; Metazoa; Chordata; Actinopteri; Salmoniformes; Salmonidae.